RNAcentral lists this unclassified non-coding RNA (523 nucleotides) under Hevea brasiliensis (rubber tree). The record is from RNAcentral. Lineage: Eukaryota; Viridiplantae; Streptophyta; Magnoliopsida; Malpighiales; Euphorbiaceae.
AUAAAAGUUUAUGUAUUUGCUUCAGAUGCUUUACAAGUCCACAUUUUGACUCCCUAGCCCACUAGUUGGGGAUUGUAGAAAAUUCAAAUAAGAAAAAUUAAUUGAGAGAAAACAUGACAUACCUAUUUAGUAUGUCACUGAAGAAUGCUUUUAGGAUGUUUGAAUCUUGCAUACGCUGUUCAUUCAUUGUGUACUCAUUGUAUGUGGCAUUCAUUUCUUUAUUUGGAGUAACAACAUAUUUCUAAUACGUCUAUUUGGAGCGAUGAUAGCUAAGGUUUUGGCUUCUGAUUGUUGCUGACUGCUGCUGGUGUGUAUAAACAGAAUUAAAUCGGGAUGGGGUUGGAGAUUAUCGUUGGGAUUGGCUGGCAUUCCUGCACUUCUCUUGACUUUUGGGGCUCUCCUGGUGUUAGAAACCCCUAACAGCCUCAUUGAGCGAGGCCGCUUGGAAGAAGGAAAAUCAGUUCUCAGAAAGAUUCGUGGCACAGAUAAUAUUGAACCAGAGUUCCUGGAGCUUGUUGAGGCA